UCGAACGAAGUAGCAAUACUUAGUGGCAGACGGGUGAGUAACAUGUAGGUAUCUGCCCUUUGGCCUGGAAUAACACGAGGAAACUUGUGCUAAUACCGGAUAAGUCUUUACGGAGAAAGCUUUAUGCACCAUUGGAUGAGCCUGCACUUGAUUAGUUUGUUGGUGGGGUAAUGGCCUACCAAGACUGUGAUCAAUAGCUGAUUUGAGAGGAUGAUCAGCCACAUUGGGACUGAGACACGGCCCAAACUCCUACGGGAGGCAGCAGUGGGGAAUCUUGCACAAUGGAGGAAACUCUGAUGCAGCGAUGCCGCGUGAGUGAAGAAGGCCCUUGGGUUGUAAAGCUCUUUCGUCGGGGAAGAAAAUGACUGUACCCGAAUAAGAAGGUCCGGCUAACUUCGUGCCAGCAGCCGCGGUAAUACGAAGGGACCUAGCGUAGUUCGGAAUUACUGGGCUUAAAGAGUUCGUAGGUGGUUGAAAAAGUUAGUGGUGAAAUCCCAGAGCUUAACUCUGGAACUGCCAUUAAAACUUUUCAGCUAGAGUAUGAUAGAGGAAAGCAGAAUUUCUAGUGUAGAGGUGAAAUUCGUAGAUAUUAGAAAGAAUACCAAUUGCGAAGGCAGCUUUCUGGAUCAUUACUGACACUGAGGAACGAAAGCAUGGGUAGCGAAGAGGAUUAGAUACCCUCGUAGUCCAUGCCGUAAACGAUGUGUGUUAGACGUUGGAAAUUUAUUUUCAGUGUCGCAGGGAAACCGAUAAACACACCGCCUGGGGAGUACGACCGCAAGGUUAAAACUCAAAUGAAUUGACGGGGACCCGCACAAGUAGUGGAGCAUGUGGUUUAAUUCGAAGAU
This 848-nucleotide ribosomal RNA is filed under the name bacterium HTCC8045. Its description in RNAcentral is "bacterial SSU rRNA". It matches the Rfam family "Bacterial small subunit ribosomal RNA", at positions 62 to 958 of the family's 1533-position model. The record is from RNAcentral.